CCUGGAAACAGAUGCUAAUACCGGAUAACAAUAGAUGAUGCCUAUCAACUGUUUAAAAGAUGGUUCUGCUAUCACUCUUGGAUGGACCUGCGGUGCAUUAGCUAGUUGGUAGGGUAACGGCCUACCAAGGCGAUGAUGCAUAGCCGAGUUGAGAGACUGAUCGGCCACAUUGGGACUGAGACACGGCCCAAACUCCUACGGGAGGCAGCAGGA
This 213-nucleotide ribosomal RNA is filed under the name uncultured Lactobacillus sp. Its description in RNAcentral is "partial 16S ribosomal RNA". It matches the Rfam family "Bacterial small subunit ribosomal RNA", at positions 149 to 354 of the family's 1533-position model. Lineage: Bacteria; Bacillati; Bacillota; Bacilli; Lactobacillales; Lactobacillaceae. The record is from RNAcentral.